This 422-nucleotide ribosomal RNA is filed under the name uncultured bacterium. RNAcentral describes it as "bacterial SSU rRNA". It matches the Rfam family "Bacterial small subunit ribosomal RNA", at positions 28 to 449 of the family's 1533-position model. The record is from RNAcentral.
GAUAAACGCUGGCGGCGUGCAUGAGACAUGCAAGUCGAACGAACGACCUCGGGCUUGCCCGGGGAAAUGAGUGGCGAACGGCUGAGUAACGCGUGGGUGACCUGCCCAGAAGUGGGGAAUAACUGCCCGAAAGGGUGGCUAAUACCGCAUGUGGUCAUUAGUUCAUUCUUAUGACCAAAGCCUUAGGGCGCUUUUGGAGGGGCCUGCGUUCGAUUAGCUCGUUGGUGAGGUAACGGCUCACCAAGGCGACGAUCGAUAGGUGGUCUGAGAGGAUGAUCACCCAGACUGGGACUGAGACACGGCCCAGACUCCUACGGGAGGCAGCAGUCGGGAAUUUUGCUCAAUGGGGGAAACCCUGAAGCAGCAACGCCGCGUGAGGGAUGAAGGCCUUCGGGUUGUAAACCUCUUUUCUCAGGGACGAU